GAUGAAGAACGCAGCGAAAUGCGAUAAGUAAUGUGAAUUGCAGAAUUCAGUGAAUCAUCGAAUCUUUGAACGCACAUUGCGCUCCCUGGUAUUCCGGGGAGCAUGCCUGUUCGAGCGUCAUUAUAACCCCUCAAGCUCAGCUUGGUGUUGGGGCCUGCUGCACUGGCAGCCCUUAAAAUCAGUGGCGGCGCCAUCUGGCUCUAAGCGUAGUAAUUCUUCUCGCUAUGGAGUCCUGGUGGAUGCUUGCCAUCAACCCCCAAUUUUUCUAUGGUUGACCUCGGAUCAGGUAGGGAUACCCGCUGAACUUAAGCAUAUCAAUAAGCGGAGGA
This 329-nucleotide unclassified non-coding RNA is filed under the name soil metagenome. RNAcentral describes it as "partial contains 5.8S ribosomal RNA, internal transcribed spacer 2, and large subunit ribosomal RNA". The stretch from base 1 to 120 matches the Rfam family "5.8S ribosomal RNA", at positions 35 to 154 of the family's 154-position model. The record is from RNAcentral.